RNAcentral lists this ribosomal RNA (404 nucleotides) under Brucella melitensis. RNAcentral describes it as "partial 16S ribosomal RNA". It matches the Rfam family "Bacterial small subunit ribosomal RNA", at positions 355 to 776 of the family's 1533-position model. RNAcentral also lists the same sequence under 2 other names. Lineage: Bacteria; Pseudomonadati; Pseudomonadota; Alphaproteobacteria; Hyphomicrobiales; Brucellaceae. The record is from RNAcentral.
UGGGGAAUAUUGGACAAUGGGCGCAAGCCUGAUCCAGCCAUGCCGCGUGAGUGAUGAAGGCCCUAGGGUUGUAAAGCUCUUUCACCGGUGAAGAUAAUGACGGUAACCGGAGAAGAAGCCCCGGCUAACUUCGUGCCAGCAGCCGCGGUAAUACGAAGGGGGCUAGCGUUGUUCGGAUUUACUGGGCGUAAAGCGCACGUAGGCGGACUUUUAAGUCAGGGGUGAAAUCCCGGGGCUCAACCCCGGAACUGCCUUUGAUACUGGAAGUCUUGAGUAUGGUAGAGGUGAGUGAAAUUCCGAGUGUAGAGGUGAAAUUCGUAGAUAUUCGGAGGAACACCAGUGGCGAAGGCGGCUCACUGGACCAUUACUGACGCUGAGGUGCGAAAGCGUGGGGAGCAAACAGG